UACGUAGGGGGCGAGCGUUGUCCGGAGUUACUGGGCGUAAAGCGCACGCAGGCGGUCUGCUAAGUUUGGAGUGACAGUUGGUGGCUUAACUGCCAAAGUGCUUCGAAAACUGACAGACUUGAGGGCUUCAGAGGGACACGGAAUUCCGGGUGGAGUGGUGAAAUGCGUAGAGAUCCGGAGGAACACCAAAGGCGAAGGCAGUGUCCUGGGGAGUACCUGACGCUCAGGUGCGAAAGCCAGGGGAGCGAUCCGG
RNAcentral lists this ribosomal RNA (253 nucleotides) under uncultured bacterium. RNAcentral's name for it is "partial 16S ribosomal RNA". It matches the Rfam family "Bacterial small subunit ribosomal RNA", at positions 524 to 776 of the family's 1533-position model. The record is from RNAcentral.